RNAcentral lists this ribosomal RNA (207 nucleotides) under uncultured bacterium. Its description in RNAcentral is "partial 16S ribosomal RNA". It matches the Rfam family "Bacterial small subunit ribosomal RNA", at positions 568 to 774 of the family's 1533-position model. The record is from RNAcentral.
CAUGUAGGCGGUUAUAAAAGCUUGAUGUGAAAUCUCUGGGCUCAACCCAGAAACUGCAUUGAGAACUGUAUGACUAGAGUUACUAAGGGGAAACUAGAAUUCCAGGUGUAGGGGUGGAAUCUGUAGAUAUCUGGAAGAAUACCAAUGGCGAAGGCAAGUUUCUAGUAGAUAACUGACGCUGAGGUGCGAAGGUGCGGGGAGCGAACA